Molecule: ribosomal RNA, 2526 nt
Filed under: Clostridioides sp. ES-S-0056-01
Lineage: Bacteria; Bacillati; Bacillota; Clostridia; Peptostreptococcales; Peptostreptococcaceae
Description: partial 23S ribosomal RNA
Rfam family: Bacterial large subunit ribosomal RNA
Source: RNAcentral
GUAAUUGAAGAGGUUUGGAAAGACCCACCACAGAAGGUAAUAGUCCUGUAUGUUAAACGAGAAGACUUCAGAUAUGAUCCAGAGUACCACGGGACACGUGAAACCCUGUGGGAAGCAGGAGGGACCACCCUCCAAGGCUAAAUACUACCUAGUGACCGAUAGCGUAUAGUACCGUGAGGGAAAGGUGAAAAGAACCCCGGGAGGGGAGUGAAAUAGAACCUGAAACCCUGCACUUACAAGCUGUGGAAGCACAUUUCUUGUGUGACCGCGUACUUUUUGUAGAACGGGCCAACGAGUUACGUUAAGUAGCAAGGUUAAGCACUUAAGGUGUGGAGCCGUAGCGAAAGCGAGUUUUAACUGAGCGUUCAGUUACUUGACGUAGACCCGAAACCGGGCGACCUACCCAUGAGCAGGAUGAAGCGAAAGUAAAAUUUCGUGGAGGUCCGAACCCACGAGCGUUGAAAAGCUCGGGGAUGACUUGUGGGUAGCGGUGAAAUUCCAAUCGAGCCCGGAGAUAGCUGGUUCUCCCCGAAAUAGCUUUAGGGCUAGCCUCAAGGUGAGAGAUACGGAGGUAGAGCACUGAAUGUCCUAGGGGGUAUUGCACCUACCGAAGACUAUCAAACUCCGAAUGCCGUCAUCUUAUACUUGGGAGUCAGACUGUGGGUGAUAAGAUUCAUAGUCGAAAGGGCAACAGCCCAGAUCGUCAGCUAAGGUCCCUAAAUGUAAGUUAAGUGGUAAAGGAUGUGGGAUUGCACAGACAACCAGGAUGUUGGCUUAGAAGCAGCCACUCAUUCAAAGAGUGCGUAAUAGCUCACUGGUCGAGUGAUCCUGCGCCGAAGAUUUCCGGGGCUAAAACUUACUACCGAAGCUACGGCAUCAUUAUGAUGGGUAGGGGAGCUUCCCAUACGGGUUGAAGCAUGACCGUAAGGACAUGUGGACAGUAUGGGAGUGAGAAUGUUGGCAUGAGUAGCGAGAUGUGGGUGAGAAUCCCACAGGCCGUAAACCCAAGGUUUCCAGGGGAAGGUUCGUCCGCCCUGGGUUAGUCGGGACCUAAGCUGAGGCCGAAAGGCGUAGGUGAUGGACAACAGGUUGAUAUUCCUGUACUACCGAUAACCGUUUGAGAGAUGGGAUGACACAGUAGGAUAAGCUAAGCACACUGUUGGUUAUGUGUGCCCAAGCAUUGAGGCAGUCAGAGUAGGUAAAUCCGCUUUGAUAAUGCUGGGAUGUGAUGGGGAGCGAAAUUUAGUAGCGAAGUAGCUGAUUUCACACUGUCAAGAAAAGUCUCUAUCGAGGUUAAAGGUACCCGUACCGCAAACCGACACAGGUGGGUGAGGAGAGUAUCCUAAGGCCAGCGAGAGAACUGUUGUUAAGGAACUCGGCAAAAUGACCCCGUAACUUAGGGAUAAGGGGUGCCACCAUCCGGUGGCCGCAGAGAAUAGGCCCAAGCGACUGUUUACCAAAAACAUAGGUUUCUGCUAAGUCGCAAGACGAUGUAUAGGAGCUGACGCCUGCCCGGUGCUGGAAGGUUAAGGGGAUCUGUUAGAGCAAUCGAAGCAGUGAACUUAAGCCCCAGUAAACGGCGGCCGUAACUAUAACGGUCCUAAGGUAGCGAAAUUCCUUGUCGGGUAAGUUCCGACCCGCACGAAAGGCGUAACGAUUUGGGCACUGUCUCAACAACAGACUCGGUGAAAUUGUAAUUCCGGUGAAGAUGCCGGAUACCUGCGACAGGACGGAAAGACCCCAUGGAGCUUUACUGUAGCUUGACAUUGGGUCUUGGUACUACAUGUACAGGAUAGGUGGGAGGCUUUGAAACCAGGACGCCAGUUUUGGCGGAGCCAUCCUUGGGAUACCACCCUUGUAGUACUGGGACUCUAACCAUAGGCCAUGAAUCUGGUCUUGGGACACUGUCAGGUGGGCAGUUUGACUGGGGCGGUCGCCUCCCAAAAGGUAACGGAGGCGCUCAAAGGUUCUCUCAGUACGGUCGGAAAUCGUACGUAGAGUGUAAAGGCAAAAGAGAGCUUGAUUGCAAGACAUACAGGUCGAGCAAGGAUGAAAAUCGGACUUAGUGAUCCGGUGGUUCUGCGUGGAAGGGCCAUCGCUCAACGGAUAAAAGCUACCCUGGGGAUAACAGGCUUAUCUCCCCCAAGAGUCCACAUCGACGGGGAGGUUUGGCACCUCGAUGUCGGCUCAUCACAUCCUGGGGCUGUAGUAGGUCCCAAGGGUUGGGCUGUUCGCCCAUUAAAGUGGUACGCGAGCUGGGUUCAGAACGUCGUGAGACAGUUCGGUCCCUAUCCGUCGCAGGCGUAGGAAAUUUGAGAAGACCUGUCCUUAGUACGAGAGGACCGGGAUGGACGUACCUCUGGUGUACCAGUUGUCCUGCCAAGGGCAUGGCUGGGUAGCUAUGUACGGAAUGGAUAAGCGCUGAAAGCAUCUAAGCGCGAAGCCAACUUCAAGAUAAGAUUUCCCACCGCAAGGGUAAGACCCCAGAAAGACUAUCUGGUUGAUAGGUCGAAGGUGUAAGUGCAG